This is a long non-coding RNA of Sinocyclocheilus grahami, 557 nucleotides long. RefSeq lists it as uncharacterized. Lineage: Eukaryota; Metazoa; Chordata; Actinopteri; Cypriniformes; Cyprinidae. The record is from RefSeq and is a predicted model, not a curated record. The transcript is spliced from 3 exons.
AAUGCUUGCAUGGCGGUUUUAGGAAACUGGAAUGAUUGUCCCGAGGACGAGAUUAUACAUUAUGUUUUGGACUUUUGGCGGUCUUAUCCUAGCACUUUUAUGCUUAGGUGUAAGUGGCUCACAGUCUCUUUAUGAUGUUCAGUGGCUUCCUUGUCCGUUUGUGGAUGAGAAAGUUCAUGUAAAUGAAGAAGGCCACACAGAAACCAAGUAUAUCAACAGAGAGGCUGUGCUUCAAUUUGGUAAUGUCGGCGACAAGCCUUUACACCCUACCAUUACCUUCCUUGUCACAGCCUCUAAAGUGGAUAUGAGACGUUAUUUGGAGGGAAGUGAGGAUACACUACACUGUGAGAUCCGUAGAUACAGCACUGGAGGGAUUGUAAUGCGCUGGCCCACCGCAGGAGCGCAAGAUCAUGACGUCUGGUUCACCUGUACAAUACGCCAUACACAAGGCUUGUUUGUCAUCACCACCUUCCUCAGGCACACAACUGCGACUCCAGCUCAAGGACAAGUGGAUUUCCUGCAAUGGAUAAUAGUCAAUGAUAGGGAUCUCCUGUCAA